GAUGAACGCUGGCGGCGUGCUUAACACAUGCAAGUCGAACGGAAAGUCCCAAUCUUGCUUGGGUACUCGAGUGGCGAACGGGUGAGUAACACGUGGGUGAGCUGCCCUGCACUUCGGUUUAAGCCUGGGAAACUGGGUCUAAUACCGGAUAAGACCUCAUUUUGGUGGGUGUGGUGGAGAGUUUUUCGGUUUGGGGUGAGCUCGCGGCCUAUCAGCUUGUUGGUGGGGUAAUGGCCUUCCAAGGCGAAGGCGGGUAUCCGGACUGAGAGGGUGCACGGCCACAUUGGGACUGAGACAGGGCCCAGACCCCUACGGGAGGGAGAAGUGGGGAAGGUGGAUAAAGGGGAGCGAGCCUGAUGCAGCGACGCCGAGUGGGGGAUGACGGUCUUCGGGUUGUAAUCGCAAUGCGCUAGGGCCGAAGCGUUUUUGUGACGGAACCUGGAGAAGAAGCACGGGCUAAUUACGG
RNAcentral lists this ribosomal RNA (466 nucleotides) under uncultured bacterium. RNAcentral's name for it is "partial 16S ribosomal RNA". It matches the Rfam family "Bacterial small subunit ribosomal RNA", at positions 28 to 506 of the family's 1533-position model. The record is from RNAcentral.